Molecule: non-coding RNA, 415 nt
Organism: Peromyscus maniculatus bairdii (prairie deer mouse)
Lineage: Eukaryota; Metazoa; Chordata; Mammalia; Rodentia; Cricetidae
Source: RefSeq, a predicted model, not a curated record
UCUCAGGGAUGCCUAAGAUUGAAGAUCCUUCCUGAUCUUCAAGACCAGAGCUGUCGUGGAAUGGGCAUGCCUGACUGAUGGACAACAGCCGUCACUGACUGACCUUCUACUUCCAGAGUCCUUACCCGUUCUAAAUUUUGUUUCCAAGUCAGUCGCUCAAUGUGGCCUUUUACUGCCCGUGUAAAUAGUGGAUUUUGGACACUUAAGGGACAUGACAACUAAGCACCAGAGAAAAUGAUACAGACACUAAGAAUUUUCUUUCCCACACUGCUCUUGCCAAGGACCCAAGUUCAAGUCUAAGCAUCCACAUCGGGUGGUUUAUGACCACCUGUAACUCCAGCUCCAGGGGCAACUGCACUCUUGUCCAUACCAUCCCAAUAUACACAAUUAAAAAUAAAAAUAAAUAUUAAAAAUA